Molecule: long non-coding RNA, 720 nt
Filed under: Sus scrofa (pig)
Lineage: Eukaryota; Metazoa; Chordata; Mammalia; Artiodactyla; Suidae
Description: lncRNA (ENSSSCG00060048545.1)
Source: RNAcentral
CGCCCCCGCCCCCGCCCCCAACCUCCCACCUCCUCCCUCGCCUUUCUCUCCCGCUCCCCUCCCCCAGCAACCGCACACACGCACACACACAAACAGAGGGAGAGAAGCGGGGGAGAGGGGGGGCGAGAGAGAGAGGGAGAGAGAAGAGACGGAGAGGAGAGAGAGGGGAGAGAGAGAGAGAAAGAGAGAGAGGGAGAGAGAGAGAGAGAGAGAGAGAGAGAGAGAGAGAGAGAGAAGAGACUCCCCGGCUCCCUCCCUCCCUCGCACACAGCGACUGGAGACGGUCGGAGAGCAACGCGCUGGGAGAGGAGAGACCACCGAGAACAGCCCCGCGCUCUCACACAUACACUCACACUCGGCUCUUUCCUCUCCCCCCCACCUCCUCCUCCUCCUUCCACCCCCACCACUAACACCAUCUCCUCCUCCUCUCUGCAACAAGAAAAAAAAAAGCCAUUUACAGGGGGUGAUGUGCAACUAAUUAAAGGCAGACUGGCAGCGUCUGCAAAUUCUAAGGCUCCCCAAAUAAAAAGAGACUGUUGUAACAGUUGGAGGAUAAUGCAAAGGAAGACGCUGCCUGGGAAUUCACCGUCUGUGGACAUGCGCCCCAGAGAGGAAUAAAGCAGUCCUCACCUUGCUCUCCCCACCCAGACCCACUUUCCCCUCCCGCCUCGGCCCCCACCCCGACACCACCAUCACCCCCUUCCCUCCCCCCCACCUCCC